AGCGAACGCUGGCGGCAUGCCUAACACAUGCAAGUCGAACGAGACCUUCGUGUCUACUUGCUCACGGGUGCGUCACGCGUGGGAACCUUCCCUUAUGCUUGGAAUAACUCCCCUACGUGGGUGCUAAUGCCGGGUAAUUUCUUCUGAUCACACAUUCAACGCCCUAGUGUGGGCCCGCGUUGUAUUAGCUGGUGGGUAUGGUAAAAGCCUACCAAGGCUACGAUCCAUAGCUGGGCUGAGAGAAUGAUCCGCCACACUGGGACUGAGACACGGUCGAGAAUACUACGCGAGGCAGCAGAGCGGAAUAUUGGAAUAUCGGCGAAAUGCUGAAGGACCAAGGCUGCGUGAGCGAUGAAGGCGUUAGAGAUGUACAGCUCUUUUACACGCGAUGAUAAUGACAGUACCGAAAGAAUAAGCUCCGGCUAACUCCGUG
RNAcentral lists this ribosomal RNA (433 nucleotides) under uncultured bacterium. RNAcentral's name for it is "partial 16S ribosomal RNA". It matches the Rfam family "Bacterial small subunit ribosomal RNA", at positions 29 to 507 of the family's 1533-position model. The record is from RNAcentral.